Molecule: long non-coding RNA, 1554 nt
Filed under: Acromyrmex echinatior (Panamanian leafcutter ant)
Lineage: Eukaryota; Metazoa; Arthropoda; Insecta; Hymenoptera; Formicidae
Description: uncharacterized LOC105145341, transcript variant X2
Source: RNAcentral
CCGAGGUCAGCUAGGAGCACCUGCGAGGGAACCGGUGAGACGAACGUCACCUCACAGUCGCCGGGUUCUGCGUCCGGGAGGCGUAGCUAUCGGAUUUUUUACCGGAUAUAAGAUGUUAGUGUAGCCUAGCAGACUUGAUACCAGCCCAUUGGCUUUGGCAACGUGAUUACAGCGUGAUAGCGACGUGUCGUGUCGCUGAUGGGGCUCACCGAAGGGGAGGGCAUGCGCGCGACUAUACUGCCUGCGUGUAACCGCCGCGCUUCUCACAGUUGGUUUUCUAGAAGAUUCCGUGUGCGACCUCCUCGCGAAUAGCACGUGCAUGAUUGGUGCACAAGUUUUAUUACUUAACUUUAUAUUUUAACUGUAUUAUAAAAGACGCGAGUGUAAUUCAAGUAUAAUAAAAGAGGUCUUAUAUCAAGGCAGAGUGUAUUUCAUUUAUAUCACACGCUGCCAAUACCGACACGGACAAGCCACAAGGCAGGAGACACAGAUCUCAGACAAAAAGGAAAUAGCGCUUCACAUAGCGCAACGGGGACACCAAGGUCCUCUCACUAACAUUGUCUUUAUUCACGCACUGCCGAAUUACUUCGGGUAUGGCCACAAGGCAGGAGACACAGAUCUCGGACAAAGAGAAAAUAGCGCUCCACAUAGCGCAACGGGGACACCAUGGUCCUCUCCCCUAACAAGUACAUUUAUCAUGCGACCUUACUCUGGAAAACAACUUGACGAAAGAAAAAAAAAUUUUAAUUACAGAUUAGUAAUUAUAGGUUAAUUACAGAUCAAGGCGCACAAUCGAAAAUGCAUUUGGUAUUUUAUCUUCACGAUGGAGGAUCUUUCGGAAACCUAUUAAUAUGCAUCCUAAAUAUGUAGACAGCAUCAUUAUGGCGACUAUAUGUUUACAUAACUUCACUUUCAAAAUCUAAUGAAGAUAAUGUGCAAGCGAAGGAUAGAAUAUAUUGUCCUCCAAAUUUCGUGGAUUCAGAGAAUGGUUCGAAAAAGAAGGAAAAAAGAAGAAAAAGCGCACGCCCUCGCGUUCUUCUUCGCAUCUAACUCGCGCCCCGCGCGCCAUACACAUAUACAUAUCACGCGACAUGGGAAAAGUAUGAGACAUAAAAAAAAAUACAAACUGCAACUGUGAAACAGCGAUCUAUUUCAUGUUUCACUAGGAAAAUGCAAUCUGCAGAUAAGACUGUUAUGUCAACUGAAAUAAAAUUGGUUGGAUUUUUAAUGGAACAUAAUCUGCUUUUUCGUUUGGCUGAUCAUUUAACAGAUUUGUUAAAAGAUAUUUGCCAUGAUCAUCCAAUAAUAAAAAAUAUUGCUAUGAAAAGAACAAAAAUAUCUAGUAUUGCAGUAAAUGUUAUCGGUACUUUCCAUAAAGAUAAAUUGGCUCAGAUAUUAAAAAACAAUAAAUUUAGUCUUCUUACAGAUGAAUGAACUGACAAAUCUUACAUUAAAACCGCUUAUAUAGUAGUGAGAUUUAAUGAUACUACUUUACAAAAAAUUGUCAGUGAAUUUUGGGAACUGUAUAAAAUUUUUGAUUCAAGCAAUGAAGGU